UCCCUGGUGGUCCAGUGGUUAGGAUUCAGAGCUUUUACUGCUGAGAGCCUGGGUUAAAUCUCUGGUUGGGGAA
Bos taurus (domestic cattle) is the source of this 73-nucleotide non-coding RNA. Lineage: Eukaryota; Metazoa; Chordata; Mammalia; Artiodactyla; Bovidae. The record is from Rfam.